RNAcentral lists this long non-coding RNA (498 nucleotides) under Scleropages formosus (Asian bonytongue). RNAcentral's name for it is "lncRNA (ENSSFOG00015033070.1)". The record is from RNAcentral. Lineage: Eukaryota; Metazoa; Chordata; Actinopteri; Osteoglossiformes; Osteoglossidae.
CCUUGGAUGACCUCUUUACGGGGGGUCCCUGUAAACACAUUGUAAAUGGCCCAGUUUGUUUGCUGGAAACCGCCUUCUUUGAGAACUCUCUAGUUUUUGUUUCGGAGGGGCGCGGCGGCACGGCAGGUUCAGCUGGCGACUGCUGUGUGGCAAGUCUGGGGUUCGAGCCUUGCUUGGGGUGCCUUGCGACAGGCUGACGUCCCGUCCUCAGUGUGUCCUCCCCCCUCAGCCCUGCACCCUGCAUCGCUGGGGCUCAGCUGUAAAACCAGAGAUGAGGACGAGCGCUCGUUGGCGGUCCGUGACCUCAUUCCCGCUUUUCUCCCGGUGAAGGGCUGUCUGGCGAACAGCUCGAGCGGAACAAGUCGCACACGGGGUUGGGGUGCCCUGUGACAGACUGACAUUGCAUCCUGGAUGUGUCCACUCCCCCUCCAGCCUUAAGCCCUGUGUUGCCGGGUUAGGCUCCCGCUCCCUGCGACAAGUGGUUCAGAUGUGUGUCCG